UGGGGAAUAUUGCACAAUGGGCGCAAGCCUGAUGCAGCCAUGCCGCGUGUGUGAAGAAGGCCUUCGGGUUGUAAAGCACUUUCAGCGGGGAGGAAGGCGGUGAGGUUAAUAACCUCACCGAUUGACGUUACCCGCAGAAGAAGCACCGGCUAACUCCGUGCCAGCAGCCGCGAUAAUACGGAGGGUGCAAGCGUUAAUCGGAAUUACUGGGCGUAAAGCGCACGCAGGCGGUCUGUCAAGUCGGAUGUGAAAUCCCCGGGCUCAACCUGGGAACUGCAUUCGAAACUGGCAGGCUAGAGUCUUGUAGAGGGGGGUAGAAUUCCAGGUGUAGCGGUGAAAUGCGUAGAGAUCUGGAGGAAUACCGGUGGCGAAGGCGGCCCCCUGGACAAAGACUGACGCUCAGGUGCGAAAGCGUGGGGAGCAAACAGG
This 429-nucleotide ribosomal RNA is filed under the name Chloroflexota bacterium. RNAcentral's name for it is "Chloroflexi bacterium partial 16S ribosomal RNA". It matches the Rfam family "Bacterial small subunit ribosomal RNA", at positions 355 to 776 of the family's 1533-position model. The record is from RNAcentral. Lineage: Bacteria; Bacillati; Chloroflexota.